This 468-nucleotide ribosomal RNA is filed under the name uncultured bacterium. Its description in RNAcentral is "partial 16S ribosomal RNA". It matches the Rfam family "Bacterial small subunit ribosomal RNA", at positions 28 to 507 of the family's 1533-position model. The record is from RNAcentral.
GACGAACGCUGGCGGCGUGCUUAACACAUGCAAGUCGAACGGAAAGGCCCUGCUUUUGUGGGGUGCUCGAGUGGCGAACGGGUGAGUAACACGUGAGUAACCUGCCCUUGACUUUGGGAUAACUUCAGGAAACUGGGGCUAAUACCGGAUAGGAGCUCCUGCUGCAUGGUGGGGUUUGGACAGUUUCGGCGGUUGGGGAUGGACUCGCGGCUUAUCAGCUUGUUGGUGGGGUAGUGGCUUACCAAGGCUUUGACGGGUAGCCGGCCUGGGAGGGUGACCGGCCACAUUGGGACUGAGGGACGGCCCAGACUCGUACGGGAGGCAGCAGGGGGGAAUAUUGCACAAUGGGCGGAAGCGUGAUGCAGCAACGCCGCGUGCGGGAUGACGGCCUUCGGGUUGUAAACCGCUUUCGCCUGUGACGAAGCGUGAGUGACGGUAAUGGGUAAAGAAGCACCGGCUAACUACGUG